RNAcentral lists this ribosomal RNA (433 nucleotides) under uncultured bacterium. Its description in RNAcentral is "partial 16S ribosomal RNA". It matches the Rfam family "Bacterial small subunit ribosomal RNA", at positions 29 to 507 of the family's 1533-position model. The record is from RNAcentral.
AACGAACGCUGGCGGCAUGCCUAACACAUGCAAGUCGAACGAGACCUUCGGGUCUAGUGGCGCACGGGUGCGUAACGCGUGGGAAUCUGCCCUUGGGUUCGGAAUAACAGUUGGAAACGACUGCUAAUACCGGAUGAUGACCUAAGUCCAAAGAUUUAUCGCCCAAGGAUGAGCCCGCGUAGGAUUAGCUAGUUGGUGAGGUAAAGGCUCACCAAGGCGACGAUCCUUAGCUGGUCUGAGAGGAUGAUCAGCCACACUGGGACUGAGACACGGCCCAGACUCCUACGGGAGGCAGCAGUGGGGAAUAUUGGACAAUGGGCGAAAGCCUGAUCCAGCAAUGCCGCGUGAGUGAUGAAGGCCUUAGGGUUGUAAAGCUCUUUUACCCGGGAUGAUAAUGACAGUACCGGGAGAAUAAGCUCCGGCUAACUCCGUG